Tyto alba (common barn owl) is the source of this 251-nucleotide long non-coding RNA. RefSeq lists it as uncharacterized. NCBI's taxonomy places the organism in Eukaryota, Metazoa, Chordata, Aves, Strigiformes, Tytonidae. The transcript has 3 exons. The record is from RefSeq and is a predicted model, not a curated record.
GUUUAAUAUAUACAUGGUUGUUUUACUCAUCUGAGCAUUUCAGCGGUGGAUAUCCAGCUAUAUGGGAAAGAAGGAUUAGUCAAAGAAGAAGAAAGAACGACUGUGAGCAUGCACGUGGCACAUAUGUAAGAAUUUACCUGUUGGAGCCAGGCUUUGUGUCAAAAAGGUGACAGUGCCUGAGGAGGUACAGUAAGGGAAACAGAAGGCUCCCUUCCUCAUCUCUAAUGUGUUUGGCUGCAGACGCUGCUAGG